CGCGCGCGGGCGUGUUCGUGUGUGCUGCUACGUGGAAGGAUGUGCUACCUUGUUUACUGUUGAUGCUCAGACUGACCCCAGGUGACCCCAAGUGCUCCCAAUCCGGGGAAAAGGUCGUGUGAUGUCAUGGCUCUGGGUGCUGAUCCAGACGCUGCAGGACAGCGAGUUUGCGGAAGUAAUGAGUGAGCAUUACUGAUGACGAAAGACACCACAGAAUGAAGAAAUAACGGAAAGAGCGAAAGCUUGGCCAAGAACAGACACGAGGCUGUGUUGUCACUUCCAGUAAACUCAGAUAUUAUGUGUUGUUUGUGUGUGUGUGUGUGUGUGUGUGUGUGUGCGCUCAAUAGCUAGACCAAUAGGAACAGAAAAGUUUUAUUCUCCAUAAUCAGUAGAUUGGAAUUGGGACA
Ictalurus punctatus (channel catfish) is the source of this 407-nucleotide long non-coding RNA. The record is from Ensembl. Lineage: Eukaryota; Metazoa; Chordata; Actinopteri; Siluriformes; Ictaluridae.